CCCCUGGGGUGGUGGCAGCAGCAGCUGUUGCAGCAGGAGCUUCAUUCUAAUCUGGUGCUAUCCUAUCUGAGCUUUUCCUACCUUCUCUCAUCUUUCUUCUUCAUCUAGUUUUUACCACACUUUGUUUUUGGUUGGAGUCUUCUUGACCUUGUAAGACCUUUUCUUGACCUUGUAAGACCUCCCAUCCUAUAUGUUUUCUUUGUUUUUGCUUUUGUGGAAGACCCUAUAUCACAAUCCACUGAUAUAGAGUUUGAUCUCCUUCUUUCCCCGUUGCCACCCAACUCAUCCUCUCCUUCCUUGUCUAUCCCUCCUGAGCUGUUCCAAUUUUGGCCAACCAUGAUGCAACAACUAAUAUUAUGCCAUGGCUUCAAAGAAAUUGAUUGAGAACCUUACCUUACCUUACCUUAGAACCUCCCUCAAUGGGGGUACUUCAAACGUGCUAGCUAUCCGGAGACCAUGGCUUCCAAAAGUACAAAUGGGGUAGCAUUUAUUUAUGAGACCAUGUUCUUUAUUUAUGAGAAAUCAAUGUAGCUUGUAGUUUGUGAAGCAGCUAGCAUGCUUGGUCGUGGUCCUUAAGGUAGGUAGGUAUGUAUGUAUGGUAAGUUG
This 606-nucleotide long non-coding RNA is filed under the name Phaseolus vulgaris (common bean). Its description in RNAcentral is "long non-coding RNA (PVUL_LNC002710)". The record is from RNAcentral. Lineage: Eukaryota; Viridiplantae; Streptophyta; Magnoliopsida; Fabales; Fabaceae.